CACGUAGGCGGAUUUGUAAGUCAGGGGUGAAAUCCCGGGGCUCAACCUCGGAACUGCCUUUGAUACUGCAAAUCUCGAGUCCGGAAGAGGUGAGUGGAAUUCCUAGUGUAGAGGUGAAAUUCGUAGAUAUUAGGAAGAACACCAGUGGCGAAGGCGGCUCACUGGUCCGGUACUGACGCUGAGGUGCGAAAGCGUGGGGAAGCAAACA
Molecule: ribosomal RNA, 208 nt
Filed under: uncultured bacterium
Lineage: Bacteria
Description: partial 16S ribosomal RNA
Rfam family: Bacterial small subunit ribosomal RNA
Source: RNAcentral